CGCGGGUAGUGUCUGAAGGUGAAGCUGAAGCCACAGCUAUUGAGUACCAGCCUUGGCCAGCCUGGCCCUGGAGAUCCAUCACUAAAGAGCCUGCUGGGAGGGAGUGGCUGCUCCUCCAUCCGAGAAGGCCAGUGUCGGGUUUUAAAGAUCACACACAGAAGACACAUUAGAAGAUUCCCUUCUUCACCGGCAUGGGGUGUAUCCUGUGUGAGCUCCCUGAAUGUUGAUUGGAAUGGGAAAUCCUACUUACAUUCCCUCCUGCCUGCUCCUUGGGAAGUCCUACUUGCAUUCCCUCCUGCCUGCUCCAUUCCUUUGGCAUGUAUGGGGUCAGGGCUUGUGAGCAAGGGGGAGGAUGCAGGCCACAGAGUGGGAGAGUCACUCAAGACUCAACUAACACCAGAACCUCGUCCUUGGUGUCUCAGUGGGCAAGGCUGGGCUUGUCAUCUUGCCCAGCUGCUGGUGGAGGCAGCAUAGACUUGGUGACAGCUUCCUCGGAAGAGAUGAAUGAAGCAAUUGUGUACUUGGUGCAGAGAAGAUUCCAGAUGGAGGAGGUGUUUUCAAUGGCAAUAACCCGGAGAUGGAAUAUUUCAAUGAGUCAACAAAGAGAUACUGGCACCGGCUUCCCUUUGGUCUUGUGAACGCUUGCGAACCUCCGGAGGUAUUCUUGGCACGGACAGCCCUUGUCUAAAAGCUUUUAUUUUCUUCUUCAUCUCAGUCUCUCCUCCCAUCUCCUGCAGGGAUUCCAAACUCAAAUUCUUAGACAACAAAGGCAGUUAACAGAGCCCCAGUGGGUGAGUUCUCAAGCCAGAAGGAGAGUUUUUCUCAUGGCUCUAUAGCCCCCCCUCCCAUUUUUGUUUUGUUUUUAGAAGCAUCGGAUGGCCACAUUUAAGGGGGCUCUUGGAAGUUGCUCCACACCAGUUUAUAGUUUAAGAGGGAAGCUAAGGGUGUGUUAGUCCUACUAAAUGUCUGCCUGGUGACUUUGCAGUUUAAGUAUGCCAGAGAAUGGUGGGCAACUCAGGAAAUUUGUGUUGUUUAAACCACAGUGAAGGACAAGUCACAUAUGUGAUGCCAUUGGGACUGGGGGAAAGAGCAUGAUGCAGUCUGGGCGACAGCUGCAACAUAGCAGGAAUAUGGGAGAGGUUGGCAUAGGUGAGAGUUGGAAACUGGAAGUACCAGCUUGGCAACGGUCUGGGAGACAGAGGGACCUCCCCAGUCUCCGAAAGAUUUACAAGCACCUUUAUCUUGCCUAAAUAAAGUAGCCCAAGAUGGA
This is a long non-coding RNA of Mesocricetus auratus (golden hamster), 1270 nucleotides long. RefSeq lists it as uncharacterized. The record is from RefSeq and is a predicted model, not a curated record. NCBI's taxonomy places the organism in Eukaryota, Metazoa, Chordata, Mammalia, Rodentia, Cricetidae. The transcript is spliced from 2 exons.